UUGAACGCUGGCGGCGUGCUUUUACACAUGCAAGUCGAGCGGCAGCACGGACUUCGGGUCUGGUGGCGAGCGGCGAACCGGGUGAGUAAUACAUCGGAACGUACCUUUUAGUUGGGGAUAACGCAUCGAAAGAUGUGCUAAUACCGAAUAAUCUCUGAGGAGGAAAGGCGGGGAUCGCAAGACCUGUCGCUGAAAGAGCGGCCGAUGGCUGAUUAGCUAGUUGGGGGGGUAAAAGCCCACCAAGGCGAUGAUCAGUAGCUGUUCUGAGAGGAAGAUCAGCCACACUGGGACUGAGACACGGCCCAGACUCCUACGGGAGGCAGCAGUGGGGAAUUUUGGACAAUGGGGGCAACCCUGAUCCAGCAACGCCGCGUGAAUGAAGAAGGCCUUAGGGUUGUAAAGUUCUUUUGUCUGGGAGCAAAGUGUUAGUGUUAAUACCACUGACAGAUGAGAGUACCAGAAGAAUAAGCACCGGCUAACUACGUG
Molecule: ribosomal RNA, 486 nt
Filed under: uncultured bacterium
Lineage: Bacteria
Description: bacterial SSU rRNA
Rfam family: Bacterial small subunit ribosomal RNA
Source: RNAcentral